GUGCUUGCUUCAGCAGCACAUAUACUGAACUUGGAAUGAUACAGAGAAGAUUAGCAUGGCCCCUGUACAAGGAUGACAUGCAAAUUCGUGAAGCAUUCCAUAUUUAA
This 107-nucleotide small nuclear RNA is filed under the name Myotis brandtii (Brandt's bat). The record is from RNAcentral. Lineage: Eukaryota; Metazoa; Chordata; Mammalia; Chiroptera; Vespertilionidae.